GUGACGUGUCGCAACUGGCGUUGGGUGGGGUGAACCACCGGGGAGCGACACAGGAACACACCACGGACCGCGCGCCUGGGUCUAGGGA
RNAcentral lists this non-coding RNA (88 nucleotides) under Arthrobacter sp. RNAcentral describes it as "ZTP sequence". It matches the Rfam family "ZMP/ZTP riboswitch aptamer (pfl RNA motif)". From Rfam's summary of the family: Previously known as pfl RNA. ZMP is also known as AICAR. The record is from RNAcentral. Lineage: Bacteria; Bacillati; Actinomycetota; Actinomycetes; Micrococcales; Micrococcaceae.